Molecule: long non-coding RNA, 2675 nt
Filed under: Takifugu rubripes (torafugu)
Lineage: Eukaryota; Metazoa; Chordata; Actinopteri; Tetraodontiformes; Tetraodontidae
Description: lncRNA (ENSTRUG00000028665.1)
Source: RNAcentral
AACGUGGUGAUCCUGGGUGACCUCAACGCUGGCUGCAGCUACAUCACCGUCAAAGGCUGGGAGGUGCUGCGUCUGAGAACCGACCCCAAGUUUCACUGGCUGAUCGGAGACAAGGAAGACACCACCGUUCGUGAGAAGACGCAAUGCGCCUACGACCGGAUCAUCGUCCACGGACGUGAGAUGAUCUCCUGCAUUGUUCCAGGAUCAGCUCAAGCUUUCAAUUUCAGAGAGAAAUUCCAUCUUACUGAGGAAGAGGCUCUUGAGGUGAGCGAUCAUUUUCCUGUAGAAGUCGACCUGAAGCCCAACUCCCUAACCCACAACGAGCUGUAAGACCACCCGGGACGGCACUGACGAACCAGACGACCUUGAUUUCACUUUUUUUUGAGAAUAAAAAAAGACAAGAUACGAGAGACCGUGUUACAUUGUAAUUGUGUGAUGCUUUCGUGUCAGUCGCGAUACGGGUUUUUGGGGCUUCCUCCUGCACACACACACCAAAACCACGUCAAAGCUGACAUACUUUUAAAAAACUAACAACAGUUUAAGGAUUCUUACCGUUAAUUGUUGUUGAUUGAUUGAUGUAUUUUCUUUACACUUCCACAAUGUUCCAGCGGUUGGUUUUCCAGAUUUGCUGUCAGACAGAGUCAUGAUGAAUCAAAUAAAAUAUAACUUAGUUGCAAGUGUGCAGCAGUAUGUUUGACAGGAAGUCAAACGGGGACAGCGGAUGAGUCACUUGGUGCGCUUUUCUUUUCUGAUCAUAGCGAACAUGUCUUCAUGCAGCUCACAUUACCAGCUUUUUGCUGUCACCAAUUUGUAAUGAUGGAAGAAAGCUUUUCAGAUCUACUGAGGGAUGCAUUUGCAGGUAAGAAAAACACUAUUUGUUUUUGGCUUUGCUUUGUUUUUACCUUGUUUACACUAUUAUGAACAUGUCUAAAUAUCAAAGGAAAUAUGUGGUUUCAGAGGCCUCUUUUCCAUCCUUCCAUGAAGGAGAUCUGGACUUUGAGAAUUUAUAUUCUGAAGAGGACUCAAGCACCAUCUCUAGUGAGACUAUACCAACAAAAGAGAAGCAGACUUUGCACCAGGAAGCACCCAGUUUCUGUCAGCCAGGUAUUAUAAACACGGCCGAAAACAUUGAGGAAGAGGUGCCUGACGAAGUUGGUUUUCAAGGCGAGGUCAUUGUGAGCACGGGAAAAUCACAGGAGGAUUAUUACACAAGCUCGGGGGAAGAUUCUGCCCAGGAAGGAGAGGAUGGAGAGGGUGGAGGAGAGGAAAUGAAAUCGGUAAAACAGCUGAUGUGGGCCCACAGCGGCGAGGGAUCCCACCACGGCAGUAAAGGUGACAGACCCUCUGCGGAGAGACGACCUCUGGCCCCAGAGGGGGAGAAAAAGACUCGAGUUAGAAACAAGGAGCAAGGUGAGAGCGAGAGUGAUGAGAUGUCCUAUUUCCAGAGAGUCCAUGAACAUGAAAGGACUGAAAGCGAUCAGCAAGAGCCUGAUUCUGAGAGUGAGGCGGCAAAAUGUGAAGAAGAGGAACAAGAUGAUGAUUAUGAUGAUGAAAGUAAUUAUGAAAGAGAAGACAAUGUUCCCACUUUGUGCUGCGGAUGGGAGGAUGAAAAUCCCCGCUGGGACAAUCCAGUAGGGGACAUUAUGGACUUUCCUGAGUUAAUGGUGCAGCAGGACCUCAUUGCGGAAGAUGAUUAUGGGAAAUAUGUAGAGAAAAUCAAGGACUUCUCAGGGGAGGAGCACCAAGACGCAGGUGAGAGCUUCGCAGAGUAUCCCUCAGACCUUUCUUCCUAUGAAUCUAUAGAAGAUGGAGAAAAGGAUGAAGAAAAUAAUGGCCAACGUACAGGAGACCAGGCUACCAUGCAAAGAGUGAGUCAUUCAGAGAUGUUGCUUGUGGGGAGCAGAGGAACAGAACAGGGGAAAGCUGAACUUGUGGAGACCAUGUCUGGAGAUAAAGCUGAGCUGAGGCUUGAGACGUCUGAUUCCUACAGCUCCAGUGAUGACGAAACCCAAACUACAAGUGAUGAGGAACCCAAUGUUACUUCAAAAGACCUUGAAAAUAAAAGCCAACUGGAGGAGCAUCACAGUGGGAGUAGAAUGUGUGUACGUGAGGAUCCAAAAACGGGUCUUUUCUCUGAUGACCUGUUAGUUUCCGAUAAAGAGGAUAUGACUCUGUGUCCUGCUGAAGGAGUCAGAAUGUCCUCGGGGUCCCUGGAUGAUAGAUUCUUCUUUAGCACAGAAUAUCCAGAUUCUCAGAUCUCAGAGGAGGGAGAGCUCGGAGAUGAUGAGUACGAAGACAAGAGCAACUGGGAACAAGAGCAGGAAAGAAUCAGAGCUUUCUACGAGUUCUAUGACGACAGUGAUCAGCUGACAGGAGACGAAGGAAGACAGACAAAAGUCCACUUCUCCACAGAGCUGUUUUCUCAGAUCAUUGUCUAUGACACAGACAGCAGCGACAGAGGCUCACUAAGCAGCUCCACAGACGGAGAGGAGGAGCUGAGCUCCGCAGAGACACCUGAGGUUUGCACGACCACCCACGAAAACACGCCUCUGUACUGCUGGCACCAUCAACGACUUUCACUGCUUCCUUUGACCAGGAACCAAAGGAGCCCGUUGAAAGAACAGCAAUCAAACCCAGAGUUCCAAAUACUCAGGCAGAAUCUGAGUCCAGUCUGA